GGGAGGGGUCAAAGUUACUCUGCCCGGGGGAAAGUGCGGGUCCGGGGGGGACGCGAGUAGCAGCGCGGCCGCCUCGCUCCCCAGUGGUGUGAAAGAAGAGCUAGAGCCCAAGGGGUCAGCGUUGCUGAUUGGUGUCGAGGAAUAGGGGUUGUGUUGAAGUCAAAGUGACUGCUCUGCAGUUCUGGCAGCAGGAGGAACCUUCAUGGGAAAACUUUGCCUUCCUGAACUUGUCUAGAUUGGUCUCAAGUCUUGAGAUGAGAGUCAGAGUUCAUUCUCCUGUCAGGCCCCUGUUCCUUUGCUGCUGCUGUGUGACAUGGCUGGCUUUCUGCUGGGCUCUGGUGUACUUUCCUCCACUAGUCAUGCAGCUUCCCUCCCACCUGAGCCUGGGAACUCCUGGCACUUAACUGUGGAGAGCCUCUUCCUCUGUACCGCUCAUCUUCAGGCAGCAAAACCUGGCUUCAGUAAAACAGCGCUUCCCGUUCCAAACCGGCCUUCCUUUCUCCAGUGUGUUGGGAUCUUUACAGCAGCCCAUGCUGCAGCGCCUCGCCUGUUCCACUCGAACUGCCUGCACCGCUGGCUUGGACCUUACCUAGGAUAAAUCUCAGCGU
Molecule: long non-coding RNA, 608 nt
Filed under: Apteryx haastii (Great spotted kiwi)
Lineage: Eukaryota; Metazoa; Chordata; Aves; Apterygiformes; Apterygidae
Description: lncRNA (ENSAHAG00000005738.1)
Source: RNAcentral